This 74-nucleotide transfer RNA is filed under the name Gammaproteobacteria bacterium. RNAcentral's name for it is "tRNA-Gly". It matches the Rfam family "tRNA". From Rfam's summary of the family: Transfer RNA (tRNA) molecules are approximately 80 nucleotides in length. Their secondary structure includes four short double-helical elements and three loops (D, anti-codon, and T loops). The record is from RNAcentral. Lineage: Bacteria; Pseudomonadati; Pseudomonadota; Gammaproteobacteria.
GCGGGUAUAGCACAGUGGUCGUGCGCAGCCGUGCCAUGGCUGAGAUUUGAGUUCGAUUCUCAAUACUCGCUCCA